CCUACGGGAGGCAGCAGUGGGGAAUCUUGCGCAAUGGGCGAAAGCCUGACGCAGCAACGCCGCGUGCGGGAAGAAGGCCUUAGGGUUGUAAACCGCUUUCAGUAGGAGCGAAAAUGACGGUACCUGCAGAAGAAGGUGCGGCCAACUACGUGCCAGCAGCCGCGGUGACACGUAGGCACCAAGCGUUGUCCGGAUUUAUUGGGCGUAAAGAGCUCGUAGGCGGUUCAGUAAGUCGGGUGUGAAAACUCUGGGCUUAACCCAGAGCCGCCACUCGAUACUGCUGUGACUUGAGUUCGGUAGGGGAGCAGGGAAUUCCUAGUGUAGCGGUGAAAUGCGCAGAUAUUAGGAGGAACACCGGUGGCGAAGGCGCUGCUCUGGGCCGAUACUGACGCUGAGGAGCGAAAGCGUGGGUAGCAAACAGGAUUAGAUACCCUGGUAGUCCACGCCGUAAACGUUGGGCACUAGGUGUGGGUUCCAACCAACGGAAUCCGCGCCGUCGCUAACGCAUUAAGUGCCCCGCCUGGGGAGUACGGCGGCACGCUAAACCUUAAAGGAAUUGACGG
RNAcentral lists this ribosomal RNA (563 nucleotides) under uncultured bacterium. RNAcentral's name for it is "bacterial SSU rRNA". It matches the Rfam family "Bacterial small subunit ribosomal RNA", at positions 338 to 916 of the family's 1533-position model. The record is from RNAcentral.